Molecule: long non-coding RNA, 899 nt
Organism: Pocillopora verrucosa
Lineage: Eukaryota; Metazoa; Cnidaria; Anthozoa; Scleractinia; Pocilloporidae
Source: RefSeq, a predicted model, not a curated record
GAUUCCAGCUGGUUGAAGUUUGCUGAAGAACGAACAGAACAUCGUUUUACACUUUUUGGGACUGAUAUUGAUGUGAUCCGACCGGAAAUUUUUUUAAUGGAGUUUGUUCUUAUGGAAAAAUCUGAAGGUGUUACCUGAAGUUGAUGAAAGUAACCGUACAUAAAUUCACCGUCGCAGAUAGCUUUGACUUCAGCCAGUGUAAUAGUGCUUCAAUGUCACUGCGUUGAGACUGCAAGUAAGGUGCCUUUUGGCUGUCAGCACAGUUUUUUCCACAACUUCCUCAUGGUUGUUUUGCCUGCUGCUGUUUAAACAUGUCAUUCAUACAUAUUCCACUGCUAAGGUCCAAGACUCUCCCUGCAGUCUGUGCAGACCUGGUUAACCCAUGAAUAUCAAGGAACAUUUCAGCUUAUUUCUGGAGCUGUGAUGUUUUCUGAGAUCUAAGGGAAAUUGCAUAUUAUCAUGUUAUCAUACUCAAGAACAAAGGUUGUUUUUUACUAGUGACUGCUGACACUGUCAGAAUAAAGCUGACAUGGAAAUUUUGUAAAUUAUAUAAAAUGUAAUAAUUUUUUAUUUUUCUAAUGGCAAAACUUUAGGCAGGUAGGCAACUUGUGAAGUAGUACAACUAUUCUUUGCUGCUGUGAAUGUGAAUGCCUCUAACUGGUGGCAUGUCUAUCUGCACUCACUAUUGUACUGAUGAGGAUGUAAAAGAGAUGUGGUGUACAAGUCUCACAAAGUGCCUGCAUAUCAUCAGAUCUCUAUAGAGAUUGACCCGCACUUUCAUAGUGCCUGUGCAAGGCUGACUGAAAUUUUUCCACCAGCUCUGCAAGAUUAUAUAGAAAAUGCAAUAAUAAUGUAUUUGACCACUCUGUAAGUUAUAUAGAAAUAUUUUCAACAAUGAA